Molecule: ribosomal RNA, 240 nt
Filed under: uncultured bacterium
Lineage: Bacteria
Description: partial 16S ribosomal RNA
Rfam family: Bacterial small subunit ribosomal RNA
Source: RNAcentral
CAAUCCAUGAGUACAGUGGCGCACGGGUGAGUAACACGUGACUAACCUACCCUGGAGUGGGGGGUAACUGAGGGAAACCUUAGUUAAUACCGCAUAAUACCUACGGGUCAAAGGAGCAAUUCGCUUCAGGAGGGGGUCGCGGCCGAUUAGUUAGUUGGCGGGGUAAUGGCCCACCAAGACAGUGAUCGGUAUCCGGCCUGAGAGGGCGCACGGACACACUGGAACUGAAACACGGUCCAG